UACGAAGGGGGCUAGCGUUGCUCGGAAUUACUGGGCGUAAAGGGUGCGUAGGCGGGCAGGUAAGUCAGUGGUGAAAUCUCCGGGCUUAACCCGGAAACUGCCGUUGAUACUAUCUGUCUUGAAUAUCGUGGAGGUAAGCGGAAUAUGUCAUGUAGCGGUGAAAUGCUUAGAUAUGACAUAGAACACCGAUUGCGAAGGCAGCUUACUACACGAUCAUUGACGCUGAGGCACGAAAGCGUGGGGAGCAAACAGG
Molecule: ribosomal RNA, 253 nt
Filed under: uncultured bacterium
Lineage: Bacteria
Description: partial 16S ribosomal RNA
Rfam family: Bacterial small subunit ribosomal RNA
Source: RNAcentral